GACAGAGGAUGCAAGCGUUAUCCGGAAUGAUUGGGCGUAAAGCGUCUGUAGGUGGCUUUUUAAGUCUGCCGUCAAAUCCCAGGGCUUAACCCUGGACAGGCGGUGGAAACUACCAAGCUGGAGUACGGUAGGGGCAGAGGGAAUUUCCGGUGGAGCGGUGAAAUGCGUAGAGAUCGGAAAGAACACCAACGGCGAAAGCAGGUAACUGGACCAUUACUGACACUCAGCUGCGAAAGCUAGGGGAGCAAACAGG
Molecule: ribosomal RNA, 253 nt
Filed under: uncultured bacterium
Lineage: Bacteria
Description: partial 16S ribosomal RNA
Rfam family: Bacterial small subunit ribosomal RNA
Source: RNAcentral